This 1241-nucleotide long non-coding RNA is filed under the name Schizosaccharomyces pombe (fission yeast). Its description in RNAcentral is "centromeric lncRNA". The record is from RNAcentral. Lineage: Eukaryota; Fungi; Ascomycota; Schizosaccharomycetes; Schizosaccharomycetales; Schizosaccharomycetaceae.
AAUUGAGAUAAAGAUUUUGGAAAACAUAGAUACAUGUACAUCAUCGCUUAGCACUUUGAGAAAGAGAUAAUAAUAGAAUCAUAUUUACCCCAAACUAAUUCAUGGGUGAUUGAUGAAAACAUCAACCAUUGUUUCAUUUCAUAAAGCAACACUGGGUGAGCACUAAAUAGACGGAACCAAAUGAUGUGAGGUUCAUGAUGGGUUCAUCGUUUCCAUUCAGUUUACACACCAUACGAAGAGGAAAAAGAAGUUAUUAAAAAAGUACAAGCGAUGCCGUCAGUUGGAUAUAAAGAAACGAGAGCUAGUACGUAUUACCACACCACCACAAUUUAACCCGAUUAGGCAAACAUCAAGAGUCCUGCAAAGACCGAAUCAAUCGGUACAUGUCUCGCUGAAAAACUUUAUAGUUGAAUGUUGUCUCCAUUUCUUGUGAUAUGAGUUUCAAGUUUUGAUCUUUUUUAAAAUCGUCAUCAAUCAUUUCAUCAUUUCAUCUUUUUGUUUGUUUGUUUUUUUAAUUUUUAAACAAUAUCGAACUUUAAUUACUGGAGUUCAGCUGACUGGAGAUGUAAAAGUCUUUAUCGUUUUUUGUUGACAAUCAUACUCGAAAAAAAAGAAAUCAAACCAGAAUUGAACACGAAGUAUGACCCGAAUUGCUCUAGUACACGUGAUGUCGUCAUGGCAAGAAAUUUUGGUGAUGUGGGUCUACUAAUCCAAUAAUAGCGACUUCCUUACUUAUUAAGAGACUUGAAGGCAGUUCAAAAUACCUGUGUCUGCUCACAUAUGCAGCUUCCGGAAUCUGUUUUCAUCCUACAUAUUCUUACCCUUCUACUACUCAUUCACUUUAUGUUUACCCUAGCAAAAUGAAGUAACAUUGUUUAAAAAGAAUUGGUCGAUAGCAUCAAGACUAUCAAGCUUAAAUACAUUCAGUAACGAAAUUAGUCAUAUAAAGUCUUUCGUAAUACACAAAUUUUUUAGCGCACACGUUAUUACUGCUUAAAGCUCGUUUCUCUUCAUCCAUUUUACACAGGUAGUGUGAUCACGAAGAAUUACUAAUAAAACAUUGAGGCGUUAUGAGAUCUAUGUCGCUUCGCAAAACUGUAUCUUAGUACGACAUAAAGUUGCUUUUGGACUUGAACGUUGACUAAAUAAAUGUGUUGCCUGAUUGUACAUGAUAUAUUAUCAGCUUUGUCAAGGGAAAAACCGAGACCGAAGAAAGUUAAAACUGAGAGAAAAAUUCUAGA